UCAAGUUUUGUGGUGUAGUAGCACCCCAGAUUGCAAACCUGGUGGCGCAGAGUAGUUUCUGCCAAAA
RNAcentral lists this transfer RNA (67 nucleotides) under Gymnothorax pseudothyrsoideus (highfin moray). RNAcentral describes it as "tRNA-Cys". It matches the Rfam family "tRNA". From Rfam's summary of the family: Transfer RNA (tRNA) molecules are approximately 80 nucleotides in length. Their secondary structure includes four short double-helical elements and three loops (D, anti-codon, and T loops). Lineage: Eukaryota; Metazoa; Chordata; Actinopteri; Anguilliformes; Muraenidae. The record is from RNAcentral.